CACCCGAAGGAGCAACAUGCGGUACACAGAGUUUAAUUAACGUCUCUGCCUUAUGACACGAAACACCCGGAAGCAUUUUUCUGCGAGCCAGCUUUUUAAUUGCUCUGAUGACCGGUGGGCUGGUCCGUCUGCGGUGGGAGGCUCGGCUGAUAUCUAUUCAUUUGCCUCCGCGCAUCAAAGACCAGCUGGCAUUUAAUCCCGAAGGGAAUACAAAGCAGCAUCAUCGCAAGUCGUCUCGAGAUCAUGUCCCGAGGAGACACCGUCUCGUGCGAUCUGCCUGAAUUUCAACUAGACGUUGGAAGCUGAAAGUCGUUCGACGCGCUUCUGACGGCGCCGUUCUCGUCCCUCCGCAGUCUGCGGUGUCUGCCGCAAACGGAUCGCUUCAGAUAAUCCAGACUUUGGGAACAGUUUGUGCGACGGGCCCAUGGAAGAGAUGUGGGCAAUGAGAAGACUGCAUAUUUAAAGGAGAACGACCCGUCAGAAAGCGGGAGCAUCCUAUGGGUGUCGGAAAGCCGGGGGCGUAAAACUCAAAGUGCAUCUGGACGACUUCCGCCACUGUGACCCGCUUGCAGAUAGCACAGGGAGCAGCGGAUGUACCUG
Long non-coding RNA from Brienomyrus brachyistius, 600 nucleotides. RefSeq lists it as uncharacterized. The transcript is spliced from 3 exons. The record is from RefSeq and is a predicted model, not a curated record. NCBI's taxonomy places the organism in Eukaryota, Metazoa, Chordata, Actinopteri, Osteoglossiformes, Mormyridae.